Molecule: ribosomal RNA, 404 nt
Filed under: Actinomycetes bacterium
Lineage: Bacteria; Bacillati; Actinomycetota; Actinomycetes
Description: Actinobacteria bacterium partial 16S ribosomal RNA
Rfam family: Bacterial small subunit ribosomal RNA
Source: RNAcentral
UGGGGAAUAUUGGACAAUGGGCGCAAGCCUGAUCCAGCCAUGCCGCGUGAGUGAUGAAGGCCCUAGGGUUGUAAAGCUCUUUCACCGGUGAAGAUAAUGACGGUAACCGGAGAAGAAGCCCCGGCUAACUUCGUGCCAGCAGCCGCGGUAAUACGAAGGGGGCUAGCGUUGUUCGGAUUUACUGGGCGUAAAGCGCACGUAGGCGGACUUUUAAGUCAGGGGUGAAAUCCCGGGGCUCAACCCCGGAACUGCCUUUGAUACUGGAAGUCUUGAGUAUGGUAGAGGUGAGGGGAAUUACGAGUGUAGAGGUGAUAUUCGUAGAUAUUCGGAGGAACACCAGUGGCGAAGGCGGCUCACUGGACCAUUACUGACGCUGAGGUGCGAAAGCGGGGGGAGGAAACAGG